Molecule: ribosomal RNA, 371 nt
Filed under: uncultured bacterium
Lineage: Bacteria
Description: bacterial SSU rRNA
Rfam family: Bacterial small subunit ribosomal RNA
Source: RNAcentral
ACAGAGGGUGCAAGCGUUAAUCGGAAUUACUGGGCGUAAAGCGUGCGCAGGCGGUUAUGCAAGACAGAUGUGAAAUCCCCGGGCUUAACCUGGGAACUGCAUUUGUGACUGCAUAGCUAGAGUACGGUAGAGGGGGAUGGAAUUCCGCGUGUAGCAGUGAAAUGCGUAGAUAUGCGGAGGAACACCGAUGGCGAAGGCAAUCCCCUGGACCUGUACUGACGCUCAUGCACGAAAGCGUGGGGAGCAAACAGGAUUAGAUACCCUGGUAGUCCACGCCCUAAACGAUGUCAACUGGUUGUUGGGAGGGUUCCUUCUCAGUAACGAAGCUAACGCGUGAAGUUGACCGCCUGGGGAGUACGGCCGCAAGGUUG